This 492-nucleotide ribosomal RNA is filed under the name uncultured bacterium. Its description in RNAcentral is "partial 16S ribosomal RNA". It matches the Rfam family "Bacterial small subunit ribosomal RNA", at positions 29 to 507 of the family's 1533-position model. The record is from RNAcentral.
AGUGAACGCUGGCGGCAGGCCUAACACAUGCAAGUCGAACGGCAGCACAGUAAGAUCUUGCUCUUACGGGUGGCGAGUGGCGGACGGGUGAGGAAUACAUCGGAAUCUACUUUUUCGUGGGGGAUAACGUAGGGAAACUUACGCUAAUACCGCAUACGACCUACGGGUGAAAGCAGGGGAUCUUCGGACCUUGCGCGAUUGAAUGAGCCGAUGUCGGAUUAGCUAGUUGGCGGGGUAAAGGCCCACCAAGGCGACGAUCCGUAGCUGGUCUGAGAGGAUGAUCGGCCACACUGGAACUGGGACACGGUCCCGACUCCUACGGGAGGCAGCAGUGGGGAAUAUUGGACAAUGGGCGCAAGCCUGAUCCAGCCAUACCGCGUGGGUGAAGAAGGCCUUCGGGUUGUAAAGCCCUUUUGUUGGGAAAGAAAAGCAGCAGGUUAAUACCCCGCUGUUCUGACGGUACCCAAAGAAUAAGCACCGGCUAACUUCGUG